RNAcentral lists this ribosomal RNA (421 nucleotides) under uncultured bacterium. RNAcentral's name for it is "bacterial SSU rRNA". It matches the Rfam family "Bacterial small subunit ribosomal RNA", at positions 358 to 772 of the family's 1533-position model. The record is from RNAcentral.
GGAAUUGUUCACAAUGGGCGCAAGCCUGAUGACGCAACGCCGCGUGGAGGAUGAAGGUCUUCGGAUUGUAAACUCCUGUUGCCCGGGACGAAAAGCUUCCACCUAAUACGUUGAAGUCUGACGGUACCGGGUGAGGAAGCCCCGGCUAACUCCGUGCCAGCAGCCGCGGUAAUACAGAGGGGGCAAGCGUUGUUCGGAAUUACUGGGCGUAAAGGGCGCGUAGGCGGCCUUCUAAGUCGGACGUGAAAUCCCCGGGCUCAACCCGGGAACUGCGUCCGAGACUGGAAGGCUCGAAUCCGGGAGAGGGAUGUGGAAUUCCAGGUGUAGCGGUGAAAUGCGUAGAUAUCUGGAGGAACACCGGUGGCGAAGGCGGCAUCCUGGACCGGUAUUGACGCUGAGGCGCGAAAGCCAGGGGAGCAAA